AUUGAACGCUGGCGGAAUGCUUUACACAUGCAAGCCGAACGGCAGCACGGGGGCAACCCUGGUGGCGGGUGGCGAACGGGUGAGUAAUACAUCGGAACGUGCCCAGUCGUGGGGGAUAACGUAGCGAAAGUUACGCUAAUACCGCAUACGAUCUACGGAUGAAAGCGGGGGACCGUAAGGCCUCGCGCGAUUGGAGCGGCCGAUGUCAGAUUAGGUAGUUGGGGAGGUAAAGGCUCACCAAGCCGACGAUCUGUAGCUGGUCUGAGAGGACGACCAGCCACACUGGAACUGAGACACGGCCCAGACUCCUACGGGAGGCAGCAGUGGGGAAUUUUGGACAAUGGGCGCAAGCCUGAUCCAGCCAUUCCGCGUGCAGGACGAAGGCCUUCGGGUUGUAAACUGCUUUUGUACGGAACGAAAAGGCUCUGGUUAAUACCUGGGGCUCAUGACGGUACCGUAAGAAUAAGCACCGGCUAACUACGUGCCAGCAGCCGCCGUAA
This 500-nucleotide ribosomal RNA is filed under the name uncultured bacterium. RNAcentral describes it as "partial 16S ribosomal RNA". It matches the Rfam family "Bacterial small subunit ribosomal RNA", at positions 30 to 523 of the family's 1533-position model. The record is from RNAcentral.